AGGUGCGAUCAUACCAGCAUUAAUGCCCAGGAUCCCAUGAGAACUCCGCAGUUAAGCGUGCUUGGGCUAGAGUAGUACUGAUAUGGGUGACCUCCCAGGAACUCCUAGUGUUGCACCCU
Molecule: non-coding RNA, 119 nt
Organism: Picea glauca (white spruce)
Lineage: Eukaryota; Viridiplantae; Streptophyta; Pinopsida; Pinales; Pinaceae
Source: Rfam